RNAcentral lists this ribosomal RNA (464 nucleotides) under Vreelandella stevensii. RNAcentral describes it as "partial 16S ribosomal RNA". It matches the Rfam family "Bacterial small subunit ribosomal RNA", at positions 338 to 795 of the family's 1533-position model. Lineage: Bacteria; Pseudomonadati; Pseudomonadota; Gammaproteobacteria; Oceanospirillales; Halomonadaceae. The record is from RNAcentral.
CUUACGGGGGCUGCAGUGGGGAAUAUUGGACAAUGGGCGAAAGCCUGAUCCAGCCAUGCCGCGUGUGUGAAGAAGGCCUUCGGGUUGUAAAGCACUUUCAGUGGGGAAGAAAGCCUUGGGGCUAAUACCCUCGAGGAAGGACAUCACCCACAGAAGAAGCACCGGCUAACUCCGUGCCAGCAGCCGCGGUAAUACGGAGGGUGCGAGCGUUAAUCGGAAUUACUGGGCGUAAAGCGCGCGUAGGCGGUCUGAUAAGCCGGUUGUGAAAGCCCCGGGCUCAACCUGGGAACGGCAUCCGGAACUGUCAGGCUAGAGUGCAGGAGAGGAAGGUAGAAUUCCCGGUGUAGCGGUGAAAUGCGUAGAGAUCGGGAGGAAUACCAGUGGCGAAGGCGGCCUUCUGGACUGACACUGACGCUGAGGUGCGAAAGCGUGGGUAGCAAACAGGAUUAGAUACCCCAGUAGUC